UCCAACUUAUCGCUGGCGGUCUCCUGAGAGUGCCCCCUUGCGGGGUUGCAACACAGGACAAGGGUUGCGCUCGUUGCGGGACUUAACCCAACAUCUCACGACACGAGCUGACGACAGCCAUGCAGCACCUCUAUGGCGGCCUCCGAAGAGGAGACCCUAUUUCUAGGGCUGUCCGCCACAGUUCAAGCCCAGGUAAGGUUCUUCGCGUUGUAUCGAAUUAAACCACAUGCUCCGCUGCUUGUGCGGGUCCCCGUCAAUUCCUUUGAGUUUUAGCCUUGCGGCCGUACUCCCCAGGCGGGGCGCUUAAUGCGUUAGCUACGGCACGGAUCCCGUGGAAGGAAACCCACACCUAGCGCCCACCGUUUACGGCGUGGACUAC
Molecule: unclassified non-coding RNA, 379 nt
Filed under: uncultured bacterium
Lineage: Bacteria
Description: contains 16S-23S intergenic spacer region
Source: RNAcentral